RNAcentral lists this ribosomal RNA (580 nucleotides) under Salmonella enterica subsp. enterica. Its description in RNAcentral is "partial 23S ribosomal RNA". It matches the Rfam family "Bacterial large subunit ribosomal RNA", at positions 2259 to 2844 of the family's 2925-position model. RNAcentral also lists the same sequence under 2 other names. The record is from RNAcentral. Lineage: Bacteria; Pseudomonadati; Pseudomonadota; Gammaproteobacteria; Enterobacterales; Enterobacteriaceae.
UGGUGGGUAGUUUGACUGGGGCGGUCUCCUCCUAAAGAGUAACGGAGGAGCACGAAGGUUGGCUAAUCCUGGUCGGACAUCAGGAGGUUAGUGCAAUGGCAUAAGCCAGCUUGACUGCGAGCGUGACGGCGCGAGCAGGUGCGAAAGCAGGUCAUAGUGAUCCGGUGGUUCUGAAUGGAAGGGCCAUCGCUCAACGGAUAAAAGGUACUCCGGGGAUAACAGGCUGAUACCGCCCAAGAGUUCAUAUCGACGGCGGUGUUUGGCACCUCGAUGUCGGCUCAUCACAUCCUGGGGCUGAAGUAGGUCCCAAGGGUAUGGCUGUUCGCCAUUUAAAGUGGUACGCGAGCUGGGUUUAGAACGUCGUGAGACAGUUCGGUCCCUAUCUGCCGUGGGCGCUGGAGAACUGAGGGGGGCUGCUCCUAGUACGAGAGGACCGGAGUGGACGCAUCACUGGUGUUCGGGUUGUCAUGCCAAUGGCACUGCCCGGUAGCUAAAUGCGGAAGAGAUAAGUGCUGAAAGCAUCUAAGCACGAAACUUGCCCCGAGAUGAGUUCUCCCUGAGACUUUAGGUCUCCUGAAGG